Pan troglodytes (chimpanzee) is the source of this 7507-nucleotide long non-coding RNA. RefSeq lists it as uncharacterized. The transcript has 3 exons. The record is from RefSeq and is a predicted model, not a curated record. NCBI's taxonomy places the organism in Eukaryota, Metazoa, Chordata, Mammalia, Primates, Hominidae.
CACACCUCCACAGAAAUGGUUUUUGUUUUCAAAUAAAUUUUUUUCAUAUUCUGCCAUUUGUGCUUUUACUUUACUUUUAAACUUUUGCUGAUUCCCAAUUUUUAAGAGUCCUGGGUGUCCACAGUUCCAUGGGCCCAGAACAGUGAGGAGCAGCAGGGCCAUGGAGGGGGUCCCAACCACAGUCCCAGGCUGACCCUCUACUCUUCCAUUUCUUGCUUCUCUCCAGGCAUUGUUUCAGUUUCACAGUUUCACUCCAUCUGCUUCCCUAGGUAGCUGCAGUUCUCUCUCUGCCUUUAGGGUACAGAGACCCUGGAACACCUUCUCCUUUCCUCAUUGGCUUCCAAUUAUCUGCAAAUCAUCACACUUUAGCAUCUUCGAUGGGCCCCGGGAUCUAGGAUAGAGUAACCGGCUCAGCAAGAGUGGUUCUCCAGCCUAUUCAUGGUGGGACAGUAGGGUCCAGGAAGCACAGUCCUCCCUGCUGGCAUUUCUCAUUCCCCAGACCUUGGUCUUCCAUCCUUCUUCAAUCCCCUCCUGUUUUUUCCUGUUACCCCAAUUCCUUUGUUAAACAUCAACCUCCUCUUUGGAGACACAUGUCAGACCACCUAACUCUCCUCUCAUUCUCUUGUCCCGAAUCUUCUUCCUUUCAUGCCCUCCGCCUAUGCAAUGCUGUUCAUAAUAAAAAUACACCUUUGAAAGUUCACAAAAAUAAAAAGGUGGUGUCUCCUCUAGAGAUAUCCUUGCAGCUGUUGUCGAUCACUCUACAGAGACCGUAGAUCUGAGUAACUGAGAAAUACAUCUUUGUCUAUGACCAGCAGAUCAUCUUAAGACCUUGAGUCUUUUUUUUUUUUUGGAGAUGGAGUCUCACUCUGUCGUCCAGGCUGGAGUGCAGUGGCGUGAUCUUGGCUCACUGCAAGCUCCACGUCCCGGGUUCAUGCCAUUCUCCCGCCUCAGCCUCCUGAGUAGCUGGGACUACAGGCCCCCACCACCACACCCGGCUAAUUUUUUUGUAUUUUUAGUAGAGACGGGGUUUCACCGUGUUAACCAGGAUGGUCUCAAUCUCCUGACCUCGUGAUCCGCCUGCCUUGUCCUCCCAAAGUGCUGGGAUUACAGGCGUGAGCCACCGCGCCCAGCCGAACUUGAGUCUUCUUAAUCAAGCCUCAUGCCUGACUGGACACUGAAAAAGAGGUGAAGAGAUAAGAGGCGAUAGAACAAAAGAACAGAAAGAUAAUGAAGCUGAGACUAAGUAAGUGAAAGGUGAAUAAAAUUCUCUCGUGUUGACUUGCAGAAAGGAAUGUGUAAUGUGUGUUUCUAUUCAUUAGAUGAAUUAUUUUAUUCAUUCAGUCAUUUAUUCAUACUAUUUGAAUUAAUUUAUUUGAAUAAGUAAUACAUUUACAUCAUUCAAAUCCAAAAAGCAUAAGGGGGUACAAUGUCCCCCUCUCAAUUCUACCCUUAGCUUCCCAGUUCCAUUCUCCAGAGGAAACAAAUUGUUUGGUAUCAAAAUAGAAAUGUUUCUAUGAAUAUACAAGGAAAUACAUAUAUAUAUAAAUUCUUCCCUUUUCCUCUUGUUUACACAAAUGGAAUCAUACCAUAUACACUUUCUAAAUCUUGCUUUUUUUCCACUUAGCAUAAUAUCCUAGAGAUAUUUUCAUGUAAGUACAUUAGAAUGUCCUCAUUCCUUUUUAUGGUUCCAUGGUGCUUUAUUGUAUGGAUGUAACUUUAUUUUUCCAGUCCCCUACUGGUGAACAUUUGCUUCAAAUCUUUUGCUGUUCCAAACAAUGCUGAUUUUGUGCAUACAUAAUUAUGAGCACCUUAGUGAGUGUACCCGUGGCAUAAACUUGCGGAAGUAGAAUUGUUAGGCCAAAAGGCAUGUGCAACCUGAUGUAAUUGUAUCAAGAAUGUAUCUGAAUGCCUGUCACCUCUCACUCUUGUCAAUACAGUGUGUUACCAACCUUUUUGACCUUUGCCAAUCAGAUAGGUGAUAAUGUUCUCUCUUUUCACUUGUGUUAUUAUGAGUGUGGUUGAGCCAUUUGUAUUUCGUUUUUUGUAGAUUGUUUCUAUCUUUUGCCGUUUAUUAAAAUUUAAUGUUUACCUUAUCAAAGUUAUACAUGCACUCAGUUUGAAGAGUCAACUUGUUCUGCAAAGCUUGUUAAGGAAAACAGAAAUUCCUUUCCCCAUACCAUAAUUUUUUCCCACUCCCUACAGGUAACCACUCUCAAAUUUUUUAUAUAAUUAUCUUUGUACUUUAGUUUAUAUCUCAAAUUAAUAUAUAGUAGAAUAAAUACCAACGAAUAGACACGAAUUUACAUAUGCAAGAAGCUUAACAGCUCCAAGCAGGAUAAACCCAAAGGGAUUCACACUGAGACACAUUGUAGUCACACUGCUGAAAGCAAAAAACAGAGAAUCUUGAAAACAACAACAAAGAAGAAAGUCAUCACACACACGGAAUUCUCAAUAACAUUAAUAGCAUAUUUUUCAUCAAAAACCCUGAAGGACAGAAGGAAGGACAAUGACAUAUUUAAAGUGCUGAAACAAAAAAAAGAACUGUCAGCCAAGAACUUGCAUCUAGCAAAAUUAUCAUUCAAAUGAAAGAGAAAUUUGGAUUGUCCCAGAUAAACAAAAACUGAAGGAGUUCAUUGCAAACAGACCUGUCCUACAACACAUGCUAACAGGAGUCCUCCAUGUCAAAAUGAAAGUUUGGCAGGUUGCAAAGAGUGGUCUGCAGGCUUCAACAAGCCAUUUAACCUGUCAGAGUCAUAGCCUGCUGUUCUCUAAUAAAGAAAAUUAAUCACCCUUACUUUGAACAGUGGCUUUGAGAAUAAGAUUGAAUAUACACACAUAGGACUUUGUCUGACAUAUUGUGGGUAGGGCCAGACCAUAGAAUUGUGAAGGCCAUGCACUGUGCAAUUCAGGAAAUGUCAUUUGCAUAGCCUGUGAGAAAAUGGCAACCCCUGGAGUUGUGGAACACCAUGGUCUUGGUCAUGGACAUUCAAUCAAUGACAGCAGAAACUCACAACAUCUGUCCUCUCUUACAAUUUAGAGAUCUGCUCAUUUUUCAUAAUGCUAAAACUGCCUCCUUCGCUGUCCUCUUUUACAAAAUUGGAAAAAAGAAAAUGUAGAGAUUAUGCUGCUCUCAUAUAUUCCUUUUUACUCAUUUAAAAAACUUCUGAAGGAUAAUGCUUGAAUUGGAGCAGGAUUUUUUUAAUUAAACGCCUUUGUGCAUUUAUACACACCACCAGACCAGGGUAUAUCGGCUCAAACAUCCUACAAUGUGCAUGCAAGAAGCAGAGUAUCUCUCUCCACAGACAAGUGAAGAAAAUUUUAUUUUUUUCAGUCACUUUAUUAUACAAGCUCUUUCCUCAUUGUAUUUAAUCCUCAGUUAUAUGAGUAAUAGUCUCUAUUUCCUUAUCUUUGUUUUCACUGAUGUAAAUAAGGAGAGCAGUACAAAUUUAACAAACUCAUCAACAUUCAUGAAUUCAUUCACCAAAUAUUUUUGAGCUCUUCCUAGGUGCUAGGCACUGUCCCAUGCACCAGGAAUAUGCUGAGAAACACAGCAGACAAAUUCGUGUCCUUGUGGACCUUCCAUUUUUGAGGAGGAGGCAGAUGAUAUAUAAGCAAUACAACACACAAAUAAUGUAACCAGGGAGUGAUACCUAUUAUUUUACAGCUGUGUUUCUCUGAGUCCUCUCUUCGCUGUAAACCUGGGUAGACACCUUGAAAAGAUUACACCAAGUAAAUAUGAAAAAUAAAUUUUAUUUCAGUUUCAUUUUAUUGUGUUAACCUCCUAUCCUAUUUGCUUUUGUAUUUUUUUAAGCAUAAUUAUGUAUGCAGCCACAAGUGGCGCACAAAGCAAUUACUGCUUGUGGGAAUUUGAGAGAUGCUCUUUGAGGAGGUGUGAGGGAAUCAGUAAUACUUGCAGUGACUUUUGAGGAGGUGGAGUGUGCUGAUGAAGAUGCCACAAAGAACUGAUGGGAAGUUAUUCCUCUCCCCAACUGCUAUUGUAUCCUUCCUGUAGUGCUGUCUCUGCUUUUUGCAUCUUGCCCAGUAUAUUAUGACACAAAUAAAAAUUCUCUUUUCAUCAUCUUGCAACUUGUAAGAGGCCUGAGAGAAUUCUUGUGCAGGGCCCUUAGAACACACAUGAAAAGAUAAUUUAUUAAAACAUUAAAUUCAUAUAAAAUCUUCCUAUAUUUUCUUUCUAUCCCACCUCAUUUUUGGGCUCAGAUCACAAGCUGCCUAAGUGCAUGGCUUUCAGGGUGUCUGUUGUAAAAACCUCAGCUCACUGACAUUACACGAAGUGAACAAGAGGCUGAGAGGGGCAUAGGGAGUUGAGAAAGGGAAGGAGAGAGUUCUAGACAUUAGGACGGAGUGGGCCCUGUUUCUGGGAGGUGCCCUGGAGUAGGUGGCAGCAUCUGGAGGGAAACAGAAGUGCCUAGGGGAGCCCGGCCUUAUCAUGGGACUCCUGGGUCUGCCACAGUGCUUGUGCUCAAGCAGGAUAUGGAAGCUGCCAACCAAUGUUUCUAGAGGCACCACACAUGAUGGGGGAAAGGCUUUGUUGACAUUCUUCUCCAAUGCCUGGGUUUUUCAUUAGACCCUGGGAGUCACUGCACAACUCUGGGUGGGGAGUAACCUAAGAAUAAAUAAGCUUACAUUUUCCAUCAGUUUGGGAAGCUGAGAUCUGAAGUUGAAUUCAGUUUAUUUAAAAUAUAUAAAGAAGGUAGUUUUUUGAGCAGGUGGUUUUAUGCACAGAUUCACACCUACAUAUACAUAUCAGUCAUUUAUCCACUCAGUCAACAAAGGCUUACUAAAUAAUAGCUAUAUGUCAGAACCUAUACCAGAUAAUGUUGAUACAGAAAUGAUGAAGCAGAGGUUCCUGAAAGUCAAGUGAGGGAAACAGCCAAGUUAACAAGUAUAUCAGGUAUCUUUUGCUAUGUAACCAAUGACCCAGAAAUGCAGUGGCUUGAAACAACAACCAUUUAAUGAGCUCAUGAUCAUGUAACUUGGCAUUCCGGAGUUCUGUUCUAGGCCAGGCUCUGCAGCUCCAGAUGGACUUGCUCAUGUGUCUGCAGUCAGCGGCCAGAUCGGCUGGGGGUUGGGUCAGCUGAGGGCUGGCUGCUCAAAAAAUAACUCAGCUGCAACAGCUGGAUGCUGUCUCUACAUGGUCUCUUAUCAACCAGAGGGCUGCCCUGGGCUUGUUCCCAUGGAUUCUCAGGGUAUGAAAAGCAUCAUUGCAACCCCAUGCAUAAACUCCUUUCAAGUCUCUGCUUGCGUCAGGCUUGCUACUGUCCCAGUGAUGAAGGCAAUCAUAAGGUCAGCCUCAACCCAAGGAGGGAGAAAGACUCCUACUCUUCGAGGAACAGCAGAGUCACAUUACAAGGGUGUGGAUACAGAAAGAGGAAGAACGUGUGGCCAUCGUUGCAUCCACCACAAUUAGUAAAUGCAACCCAGUGUGUUCAAAGCUAUGGCAAAGGGUUGUAGUAGGUACAAAAGAGUGCACGUCACAGGGUGGGAAGCUCCAUCAGGGAUGGGUCAGAGACAGUUUUAGCCUGAAAAUGAUACUUGAGCCAGAUUUGGAAAUACAAAAUUGUGGAAGGAAGAAAUGAUCUGAUAUAUCCAGGAAACCAGAAGAGUUCUCCGGAGGGCACAGUGCAAGGUGAGGGGUGCCUUGGGAGGGAAGAGCCCGAGGAGAAGGAGGGGCCACUGGGGCAUUUCUCUACAUUUCUAACUAAGCCCAGAUCUUCCCUGUUCUAUUGUGAUUCCAACCACUUGUCCCUGUCCUGCCCUCUGGAGUCACACGAAUCACACCCCUCUCUUCCCUGGAGAGAGCAUGUAUUUUCCUCUAUAUAUUCAGCUUCUCCCUCCCACCACCUCAACAUCAUAAACCUUUUCUCAAAGGGUUCCCACACUUUGCUGCUUCCUGUUCUAAAUGGCCUCCAAAGCAGAAGCAGAGUCUGACGCAAGCAGAGCUCAGUGGGCUUUCCCCAAGUGUCUUCCUAACCCCUAAGACAGGUUGAGAACAAGGGUGCUGAGCCCCAGUACUUGGUUGUGAGGCCAUGAUGCCGUCACUGUCUCAGCAGCCCCAAGGAAAAGCAUGGGAGUGCUCACUGGAGCUUCACAUUGAUCCUUCCUAAGGGUUCAGGGAUGGGGCUGGGGAAGUAUGGAGGGCAGUGGCGCUGGGUCCACACUUGAGGGAUGGCAACUCAGGCAUCUAAUCAAACAGUCCUGUUUUGCACCAAUGCCCGUAAGGGCAGGUCUUAUGUGUGAUUGUUAUUCAUUCACUUAUUCAAUAAAUGCACAUGGAUACCUGCUCUGUGUCAGGCACUGCCCUACUCUGUGGGACUAAGGCAUGAGGCAGACCUGGUCUCCGCCCCGAAGUUCAUUCCAGUCAUUUAAGAGGAAGGAACAGGUUUGUAAAGGAGCCUCCCCCGUGGUCCUUGAGUGACAUGAUGAGGGCUUAUCAGGCUCUGAAUCCACAGGGCAGGGACAUCACCACAUCUGGGCACCCUCAGCAAGCUGUGACCUGCAGAGUUAACAACAGUGAGUGUUUGCAUGACCAUGUCCUAUAGCAGCCACUGUCCUAGAUGCUUUCCACAGGUCCACCAGUGAAGCCUCUCACAACCCUGCGAGGUGGGCGGAGUGCUCUCCAUCUUAAGAUGCGGGGAGGGAGCAGGGAGAGGACACUUAGGGGUCCCAGACCCCCAGGCCUGGGGUAGGGUUGGGACACAGGCAGCAGCUGCUGCAGGCAGCUCUGCUCCACCCCAGGUUCUCUGAGGGAGGGCGAGGACAAUUUUCCAGUCCAGGGACCAGCUGUGAGGAGAUUCAGGUGUGGAGACCUGAAGGGAUUCAGGGGGACCUUGUGUGACUAAGACUAGGGGGAAGAGUUUCAAACAGAGGCAGGGGGAGGUUGGCGGGAAGCCACACCCCACCACAGUCUGUCCCCAUUCCCUGCAGCAUCUCUCUCCUUGAGAAAUGGAAACUCCACGGGAGCAAGGAAACGUUCAAGUCCAUUUUGGUAAAGAAUUAUAUAAUUUCCCACCCACGUUUUCCCCUUGCCCCAAGCCCCCAUCACCAGUUGCCAGGUGUGCCUGUUGUCGUGGCCCACCCCACUGGACUAGGUCAGCAAUGAUGUCACACAGGGCUCUGGAAGCUUGGCGCUCACUCAGCUCCCAGAAGUUCUCAGAGGGUGAGGGUCCCACAUCUCCUGCAGGACAGGCCCUAGCUACCGAGUCACAGAAACCCAGGGCCGAAGCAAAGUCCCAAUCCCAGAGAGGCUGGGGCAUACCUACAACUGAAAGGAGGCUUAGAAAUCCUUCAGAGACCACCCUAUCGGUUCUCCUCCACCUGGACAGGAUGAGCCAGCAACACAGAAGGAAGAGGCCUUCCUCCGAAAGGUAUAGAGGCCAGAAGAGGUCAUUGUCUCCAAAUAGCAAGCAAGACCUCUCCGAGGCUGACUUUGUGCAGUCUGUAGGUGUAUUCAUGCCGUGGCUCAAAUCUUUAAAUCCAACUUUAAAGA